RNAcentral lists this ribosomal RNA (492 nucleotides) under uncultured bacterium. Its description in RNAcentral is "partial 16S ribosomal RNA". It matches the Rfam family "Bacterial small subunit ribosomal RNA", at positions 29 to 507 of the family's 1533-position model. The record is from RNAcentral.
AGUGAACGCUGGCGGUAGGCCUAACACAUGCAAGUCGAACGGCAGCACAGUAAGAGCUUGCUCUUACGGGUGGCGAGUGGCGGACGGGUGAGGAAUACAUCGGAAUCUACUUUUUCGUGGGGGAUAACGUAGGGACACUUACGCUAAUACCGCAUACGACCUACGGGUGAAAGCAGGAGAGCUUCGGACCUUGCGCGAUUGAAUGAGCCGAUGUCGGAUUAGCUAGUUGGCGUGGUAACGGCCCACCAAGGCGACGAUCCGUAGCCGGUCUGAGAGGAUGAUCAGCCACACUGGAACUGAGACACGGUCCAGACUCCUACGGGAGGCAGCAGUGGGGAAUAUUGGACAAUGGGCGCAAGCCUGACCCAGCAAUACCGCGUGGGUGAAGAGGGCCUUCGGGUUGUAAAGCCCUUUUGUUGGGAAAGAAAAGCAGCAGGUGAAUAUCCCGCUGUUCUGACGGUACCCAAAGAAUAAGCACCGGCUAACUUCGUG